RNAcentral lists this ribosomal RNA (559 nucleotides) under uncultured Glomus. RNAcentral describes it as "SSU rRNA". It matches the Rfam family "Eukaryotic small subunit ribosomal RNA", at positions 533 to 1099 of the family's 1831-position model. The record is from RNAcentral. Lineage: Eukaryota; Fungi; Glomeromycota; Glomeromycetes; Glomerales; Glomeraceae.
ACUAGUGAUUUUGGAGGGCAAGUCUGGUGCCAGCAGCCGCGGUAAUUCCAGCUCCAAUAGCGUAUAUUAAAGUUGCUGCAGUUAAAAAGCUCGUAGUUGAAUUUCGGGACCGAUAUAUCGGUCGUGCCUCGGUACGUACUGGUAUUUUCGGUUUCUCCCUUCUGACGAACCUUGAUGUCAUUAAUUUGGUGUCUUGGGAAAUCAGGACUGUUACUUUGAAAAAAUUAGAGUGUUUAAAGCAGGCUCACGCUUGAAUACAUUAGCAUGGAAUAAUGAAAUAGGACGUUUGAUUCUAUUUUGUUGGUUUCUAGGAUCGACGUAAUGAUUAAUAGGGAUAGUUGGGGGCAUUAGUAUUCAAUUGUCAGAGGUGAAAUUCUUGGAUUUAUUGAAGACUAACUACUGCGAAAGCAUUUGCCAAGGAUGUUUUCAUUAAUCAAGAACGAAAGUUAGGGGAUCGAAGACGAUCAGAUACCGUCGUAGUCUUAACCAUAAACUAUGCCGACUAGGGAUCGGAUGAUGUUAAUUUUUUAAUGACUCAUUCGGCGCCUUACGGGAAACA